Molecule: ribosomal RNA, 466 nt
Filed under: uncultured bacterium
Lineage: Bacteria
Description: bacterial SSU rRNA
Rfam family: Bacterial small subunit ribosomal RNA
Source: RNAcentral
CCUACGGGUGGCACCAGUGGGGAAUAUUGGACAAUGGGCGCAAGCCUGAUCCAGCCAUGCCGCGUGUGUGAAGAAGGCCUUUUGGUUGUAAAGCACUUUAAGCGAGGAGGAGGCUACUGGUACUAAUAUUACCAGCUAGUGGACGUUACUCGCAGAAUAAGCACCGGCUAACUCUGUGCCAGCAGCCGCGGUAAUACAGAGGGUGCGAGCGUUAAUCGGAAUUACUGGGCGUAAAGCGCUCGUAGGCGGUUUGUUAAGUCGGAUGUGAAAUCCCCGGGCUCAACCUGGGAAUUGCAUUCGAUACUGGCAAGCUAGAGUAUGGGAGAGGAAGGUAGAAUUCCAGGUUUAGCGGUGAAAUGCGUAGAGAUCUGGAGGAAUACCGAUGGCGAAGGCAGCCUUCUGGCCUAAUACUGACGCUGAGGUGCGAAAGCAUGGGGAGCAAACAGGAUUAGAUACCCCUGUAGUC